CCUACGGGCGGCAGCAGUGAGGAAUAUUGGUCAAUGGACGAGAGUCUGAACCAGCCAAGUAGCGUGAAGGAUGACUGCCCUAUGGGUUGUAAACUUCUUUUAUAUGGGAAUAAAAUGUUCCACGUGUGGGAUUUUGUCUGUACCAUAUGAAUAAGGAUCGGCUAACUCCGUGCCAGCAGCCGCGGUAAUACGGAGGAUCCGAGCGUUAUCCGGAUUUAUUGGGUUUAAAGGGAGCGUAGGUGGAUUGUUAAGUCAGUUGUGAAAGUUUGCGGCUCAACCGUAAAAUUGCAGUUGAAACUGGCAGUCUUGAGUACAGUAGAGGUGGGCGGAAUUCGUGGUGUAGCGGUGAAAUGCUUAGAUAUCACGAAGAACUCCGAUUGCGAAGGCAGUUCACUGGACUGCAACUGACACUGAGGCUCGAAAGUGUGGGUAUCAAACAGGAUUAGAUACCCCAGUAGUC
This 460-nucleotide ribosomal RNA is filed under the name uncultured bacterium. Its description in RNAcentral is "partial 16S ribosomal RNA". It matches the Rfam family "Bacterial small subunit ribosomal RNA", at positions 338 to 795 of the family's 1533-position model. The record is from RNAcentral.